GGGGACUUGGAGUCUGCUCACUGCAACGACCUUAGAAUGGAGCUGGGCAUCCUGGGCCCCAGUCACCCCAGUGAAUGAACAAACCGGCCCGGGGACCCCCUCCUGGGAUGCCGGGAGGAUUAGGCGAACCAUGGGGCAGGUGGCCAGAAAGGAAAACGGGGAGGCACCCGGAAGAGCAGCAGGCAGCUCUCCCUGCAGAAGGAACACAAGACUCGGAGGACAUGGGGCGCCUGGACCUGGAGCGAGCAUGAGGCUGCGCAGGGAAGCAGAGCCAGGAUGGGGUGCUAGCGCCUGGUGGCCUGAAAUGUACCACAGCUACCACCGUAAUGACGCGAGUUACCAUAAUUACCCAGAAUGGCUGCAAUGGAUGCUCCCUGCUCAGCGCCCUCCUAGACACAGAUGCUGCUGGGGCAGGAGACACCUGCCACUCAUGGCUUUGUGUCACCUUGCCAUCCGUCACCAGGUCUCACUCCUGACCCUCCAACCCUCGCCGUCCUCCCUCCCCUCUGCCAACCCUAAAGGCCAGGCCUCUGGCAGCUUCUUGGCAAAGUGGCGGCCUCUCCUUACUACCCUCCACACCUGCCCCUCAUAGCCAUUUCCAGCCAGGGGCCAAAAUGACCACGUCCAAUCGUGAAUCCCAUCCCUGGCUUACCUGCCAGGCUGAUGAACAAGCCACCGACAUCCAUGUGCCGGCUCAAAAUCAAGCCCGGGAGAAACCCACGAGCUGCCAGGCAACACCAACCAUGGCUGUGAUUCAUGGACCUCUUCUCAACCUGCCUGGCAACACUUGAGUGCUGAAGGAUAUACACAUGCCCCUCUUCUUGCAAGUGGCCCACUCAGACCCCAGCCUCCCUCAGCCCACUCUGCUGCCCCUGCACUCCACAGUCACUGCC
This 893-nucleotide long non-coding RNA is filed under the name Pan troglodytes (chimpanzee). RNAcentral's name for it is "long non-coding RNA NONPTRT008415". Lineage: Eukaryota; Metazoa; Chordata; Mammalia; Primates; Hominidae. The record is from RNAcentral.